RNAcentral lists this ribosomal RNA (1202 nucleotides) under bioreactor metagenome. RNAcentral's name for it is "bacterial LSU rRNA". It matches the Rfam family "Bacterial large subunit ribosomal RNA", at positions 1100 to 2309 of the family's 2925-position model. The record is from RNAcentral.
GUUGGCUUAGAAGCAGCCAUACAUUUAAAGAGUGCGUAAUAGCUCACUGGUCGAGCGGUCCUGCGCCGAAAAUGUCCGGGGCUAAAACCUGACACCGAAGCCAUGGGUUCUGCGUAAAGCAGAGCGGUAGGGGAGCAUCGUAUACGGGCCGAAGCCCGACCGGAAGGCAGGGUGGACUGUAUACGAGGGAGAAUGCCGGCAUGAGUAGCGAGAGGGUGGUGAGAAUCCACCCCGUCGAAAGCCUAAGGAUUCCUGAGGAAGGUUCGUCCGCUCAGGGUAAGUCGGGACCUAAGCUGAGGGCGAAAGCCGUAGGCGAUGGGCAAUCGGUUGAAAAUCCGAUACCACCUGAUACCGACUGAGAGAGGCAGUGACACAGGAGGGCAGGCAGAGCGAGCUGAUGGUAGAGCUCGUCCAAGCGGCGAGGCAGGCAGGUGAGUGAAGUACCACCUGCCGGUAAUGCUGAGCCGUGACGGGGACCGAAGUUAAAGUAGGGAAGCUGCCGGGCUCACACUGGCGAGAAAAGCUGCUAUCGAGGUAUCAGGUGCCCGUACCGCAAACCGACACAGGUAGGCGAGGAGAGGAUCCUAAGACGAGCGGGGAAACCCUUGUCAAGGAACUCGGCAAAUUGACCCCGUAACUUAGGGAGAAGGGGUGCCUGCGAGAGCAGGUCGCAGAGAACAGGCCCAAGCGACUGUUUAACAAAAACACAGGUCUCUGCUAACUCGAGAGAGGAAGUAUAGGGGCUGACGCCUGCCCAGUGCUGGAAGGUUAAGGGGAAGUGUUAGCGAAAGCGAAGCACAGAACCGAAGCCCCAGUGAACGGCGGCCGUAACUAUAACGGUCCUAAGGUAGCGAAAUUCCUUGUCGGGUAAGUUCCGACCCGCACGAAAGGCGUAACGAUUUGGGCGCUGUCUCGACGGUGGACUCGGUGAAAUCAUAGUACCUGUGAAGAUGCAGGUUACCCGCGACAGGACGGAAAGACCCCGUGGAGCUUUACUGCAGCUUGAUAUUGGACUUUGGUGCAGCAUGUACAGGAUAGGUAGGAGACUAAGAAUCUGGGACGCCAGUUUCAGAGGAGUCGACGUUGGGAUACUACCCUUGUUGUACUGAGGUUCUAACUAGCGUUUAAGAAACGAGACGUAGGACAGUGUCAGGUGGGCAGUUUGACUGGGGCGGUCGCCUCCUAAAGAGUAACGGAGGCGC